This 450-nucleotide ribosomal RNA is filed under the name uncultured bacterium. RNAcentral describes it as "bacterial SSU rRNA". It matches the Rfam family "Bacterial small subunit ribosomal RNA", at positions 355 to 796 of the family's 1533-position model. The record is from RNAcentral.
UCGAGAAUCUUCGGCAAUGGGCGAAAGCCUGACCGAGCGACGCCGCGUGGAGGAUGAAGGCCUUCGGGUUGUAAACUCCUGUCACGGUCGAAGAAGGGUCUUGUAGUGAAUAGCUACAGGACUUGACGCUAGAUCGAGAGGAAGGCAUGGCUAACUCUGUGCCAGCAGCCGCGGUAAGACAGAGAUGCCAAGCGUUGUUCGGAAUCACUGGGCAUAAAGGGCGCGUAGGCGGCUUCGUAAGUCAGGGGUGAAAUCCCCCGGCUCAACCGGGGAAUUGCUUUUGAUACUGCGAGGCUUGAGGUCGGAAGGGGAAAGUGGAAUUCCUGGUGUAGCGGUGAAAUGCGUUGAUAUCAGGAGGAACGCCGGCGGCGAAAGCGACUUUCUGGUCCGAUUCUGACGCUGAUGCGCGAAAGCUAGGGGAGCAAACGGGAUUAGAUACCCCCGUAGUCC